This 482-nucleotide ribosomal RNA is filed under the name uncultured bacterium. RNAcentral's name for it is "partial 16S ribosomal RNA". It matches the Rfam family "Bacterial small subunit ribosomal RNA", at positions 29 to 507 of the family's 1533-position model. The record is from RNAcentral.
AUUGAACGCUGGCGGCAUGCUUUACACAUGCAAGUCGAACGGUAACAGGCCGCAAGGUGCUGACGAGUGGCGAACGGGUGAGUAAUUCACCGGAACGUGCCCAGCCGUUGAGGAUAACUACUCGAAAGAGUAGCUAAUACCGCAUACGAUCUAUGGUUGAGAUCGGGGGACGGUAAGGGCUCGCUCCAUCGGAGCGGCCGGUGUCCGAUUAGUUAGUUGGUGGGGUAAAGGCUGACCAAGCCAAAGACCUGUACCGGGUGUGAGAGGACGAGCGGCCACACUGGGAGUGAGACAGGGCCCAGACUCCUACGGGAGGCAGCAGUGGGGAAUGUUGGACAAUGGGCGCGAGCCUGAUCCAGCAAGGCCGCGUGUAGGAAGAAGGCCUUCGGGUUGUAAACUGCUUUUGUGCGGAACGAAACGGCUCUGGUUAAUACCCGGGGCUAAUGACGGUACCGGAAGAAGAAGCACCGGCUAACUACGUG